Molecule: RNA transcript, 4414 nt
Organism: Acinonyx jubatus (cheetah)
Lineage: Eukaryota; Metazoa; Chordata; Mammalia; Carnivora; Felidae
Gene: DENND3
Gene name: DENN domain containing 3
Exons: 22
Source: RefSeq, a predicted model, not a curated record
GCCCCGCCCCCGCGAGGCCCCUCCCCGCGGACGGCUCUCUGCGCGGACCCGGCGGCAGGAGCCGGACGCGCGGUUGCGGUUCCCGGUGUCGCGGACGGGGUCGAGGCCGGCGGCCCGAGGCGCCCGAGCGGGGUGCGCCCAGAGAGCGGCGGCAGCCGAGCAGCCAUGGCGGAGGCCACGCCGCAUCCCCUGGCGCUCCCCUCGGGGCUACUGGAGCUGUGCGCGCUGCUGGGGCCCUCCCGGGACAGCCUCCGCGGCCCCGAGCUGGUGGCCCAGAAGAAGGGGGCCAGCAGCCUCUCUGCUCUCGACCCGGAGGUCCUGUCCGUCUUUGUUCCUCCUUUCGUCAGUAAGGAGGACACUCAGCUGGCUGGCACCAACUGCGCUCUGAGCAAGACCAGAAGGCGCUCCUUCAGAAAGAAGAGGGAGAAGCCCAAAACAGAGCCCUGGAAGGGACCCCCUCCGGAAGACGUCAGCGUCCCCAAUGGCGUGGACCUGCUCGCCCUGCCUCAGCUCUGCUUCCCAGGGGGCGUGUGUGUGGCCUCCGAACCGAAGGAGGACUCUGUCCACUUUCUGGUGCUGACCGAUGUCUGUGGGAACAGGACGUACGGCGUGGUUGCCCAGUACUACCGACCCCUGCACGACGAGUCCUGUUUCUACAACGGCAAGAUGCACUGGGAGCCGUUCAGGCCACCUGGGGGUGCGGCUGGCUGCUUCGUGCCCUUUGCCGUGUGUGUGGUCUCCAGAUUCCCCUAUUACAACGCCCUUAAGGACUGCCUGUCUUGUUUAUUGACUCAUCUGAAGCUCUGUAAAGAUUUCGAAGUUGACAAUCACAUAAAAGAUUUUGCUGCAAAGCUAUCUUUAAUCCCUAGCCCACCGCCUGGACCACUUCAUUUGGUGUUCAACAUGAAGCCGCUGCAGAUCGUGUUUCCCUCCCGGGCGGACCCCGAGAGCCCGGUCGUCGACCUGGACCUUCACCUGCCCUUGCUGUGCUUCAGGCCCGAGCAGGUGCUGCAGAUCCUGACGUGCCUGCUGACGGAGCAGCGCAUCGUGUUCUUCUCGUCCAGCUGGGCUCUGCUGGCCCUGGUGGCCGAGUGCUUCCUCGCCUACCUGCACCCCCUGCAGUGGCAGCACACCUUCGUGCCCAUCCUGUCGGGCCAGAUGCUGGACUUCGUCAUGGCGCCCACGUCCUUCCUCAUGGGCUGCCACCUGGACCACUUCCAAGAAGUCAGCAAGGAAGCUGAUGGUUUAAUUCUGAUAAAUAUCGACAACGGGAGCGUCACCUACUCUAAUGACGAGGACAUCGAUGUUCCCGACAUCCCUCUCCUGGCGGCACAGACGUUUAUUCAGAGGGUCCAGAGCCUUCAGCUGCACCACGACCUGGACCUCGCUCACCUGGGCGCCAGCACAGACCUGAACGAGGGGCGCGCCCGCAGGCGGGCCUGGCAGCAGGGACUCAACUACCAGCUGCAGCAGGUGGCCCUACAGCUGCUCGUCAGCAUCUUCAGGGAGGUGAAGGAUCACUUAAAUCACGAGCACAGGGUGUUCAACAGCGAGGAGUUUCUCAAAACCAGAGCUCCGGGGGAGCAGCAGUUCUACAAGCAGGUUCUGGAUACCUACAUGUUUCACUCUUUCCUUAAAGCCCGGCUCAGCAGAAGAAUGGACGCCUUCGCCCAGAUGGACCUCGACACACAGUCGGACGAGGACAGGUUAAGCGGGAUGCUGCCGAGUCCCCGAAGACCGACCAUCGAGAAGAUGGCCUCCCGGAACUCGUCGUCCCUGCACGUCACUCACCGGCGCAUGGUGGUCAGCAUGCCCAACCUGCGGGACAUCGCGGUGCCUGAGCUGCCCGCCCGGAACUCGUCGCUCCGGAAGAUGGACUCCGAGGGCUCCAGGAGCAGCAGCACAGUUCCGAGUGUGACCCCCAAGGCGACGUGUUCCUUCAAGGUCCCGGAGAUCCACUUCCCGCUGGUGAGCCAGUGCGUUCAGGCCUACUACUCCGACUGCGUGGGCCUGCUGAGCAAGGCCAUGAGCCUGCUGGCCCCCGACAACUCCGUGCUGCUAGCCAGGUACUUCUAUCUCCGGGGGGCCGUCCACCUGAUGCAGGGGCAGCUGCUGGACGCCCUCUUGGAUUUCCAGAGCCUGUACAAGACAGACAUAAGGAUCUUCCCGGCCGAUCUCGUCCGGAGGACGGUGGAGUCCAUGUCGGGCCCCGAGCGCGCCCAGGCCGAGCGGGUGCCCCAGCUGCGACGCCUCAUCAGCGAGGUCGUGGACAAGCCCGGGGAGGCCCCCAAGCCGGACGACCGCGUGAAAAACUUCGAGCUGCCGAAGAAGCACAUGCAGCUGGACGACUUCGUGAAGAGGGUCCAGGAGUCGGGCAUCGUGAAGGACACCAACAUCAUAAACCGAUUGUUCGAGGCGUUGACUGUAGGACACCAGAAACAGAUUGACCCGGAAACAUUCAAAGAUUUCUACAACUGCUGGAAGGAGGCCGAGGCGGAGGCCCAGGAGGUCAGUCUGCCUUCGUCGGUGAUGGAACACCUGGAUAAGAACGAGUGUGUCUACAAGCUGUCGAGCUCGGUCAAGACAAAUCGCGGCGUGGGCAAGAUCGCCAUGACCCAGAAGCGCCUGUUCCUCCUAACCGAAGGAAGGCCGGGCUACGUGGAGAUCUCCACCUUCAGGGACAUAGAGGAAGUCAGAAGUACCACAGUAGCCUUUCUGCUUCUGCGAAUACCCACUUUGAAGAUUAAGACGGCAUCCAAGAAAGAAGUCUUUGAAGCUAAUCUUAAGACGGAGUGUGACGUGUGGCACUUGAUGGUGAAGGAGAUGUGGGCCGGGAAGAAGCUGGCCGAUGACCACAAGGACCCUCAGUACAUCCAGCAGGCGCUGACCCACGUCUUGCUGAUGGACGCCGUUGUUGGCACGCUGCAGUCGCCUGGUGCCAUUUACGCUGCCUCCAAGUUAUCUUACUUCGAUAAGAUGCGGAACGAAAUGCCCGCGGCGGUCCCCAAGACGACCUCGGAGACCCUCAAGCACAAGAUAAACCCUUCGGCGGGAGAGACCGUGCCGCACGCCGUGGACGUCUUGCUCUACACGCCCGGGCAUCUAGACCCGGCAGAAAAAGUUGAAGACGCUCACCCCAAAUUAUGGUGUGCUCUAAGUGAGGGCAAAGUGAUCGUGUUUGACGCUUCCUCCUGGACGAUUCACCAGCACUGCUUCCGAGUGGGCACUUCUAAGCUGAACUGCAUGGCGAUGGCGGAGCAGAGCCAGGUGUGGGUCGGCUCAGAGGACUCCGUCAUCUACAUCAUCAACGUCCACAGCAUGUCCUGCAACAAGCAGCUCACGGACCACCGCUCCGGGGUCACGGGCUUCGCUGUCCAGAGCGGGGCGCCCAGCAAGGUGUAUUCGUGCAGCACGGACGGGACGGUCCUGGCCUGGAAUGUGAGCUCCCUGCGCGUGACCAGCAGGCUCCAGCUGCCGGGUGGCGGGCUUUCGUCCAUCCGCCUGCACGACGACUGUCUGUGGUGCUGUCUCAGAAAAACCACACCGAACGGAGCCUAGAAGCAGGAAGGCGAUGUGACGGCAGCUCGCACUUUCCAUGACUGAACACUCAGCUGGGCUUCCAGUCCUGGGGUGGCCACAGCCGGCAGGGGUCCCUGUGUGUCAAGGCCGAGUGCCGGGGGUCCUGUGGUCCGCUCGCAGGGGACGGGAAGCCGGAGUGGCACAGCCCGGGGCCGCUCCCACGUUCCACCUCACGGGCUGCUGUGCCCUCCUGCCCCCGUGUGUGCGAGGCUGGCCCGGUGGCCGCAGCGCCGGGGGCGGGCGGCCGAGCAGGAAGCACGGAAGACAAGGACGGGCUUCGCGGCGUUUCCGUCCCUCCGUGUCCGGGGCUGCCCCGCAGCUGGUGUCUCCACGUUCCCCGCUGCCUGGAGCCUGGUGACCUACAGGUCUCGGGACGUGCAGACGCUUGGCUUGCAAGACGACCUUUUCCUUGAGCCGUAAACGGAAGCACUUAGUGGCCUGUGGCGCUGUCCCCUAUAGUUCUAAGUGCCGGCAGGGUGAGGGCAGGCCGCACCUUUUAGCGACAGGAGGAGACCCGGAACGUCCGCAUUUGCAAAGCCUCAGGAGGGGCCGCGGGGCGGACGGGUCACCGGGGUCCUGGGAGCAGCGUGCCAGUGCCCGAGCCGGCACCGGGCGGCAGCCGGUUGACCCUUCCGGCGGCCCCGGGGCACCCGCCUUCCCUCACGCUGGCUCUUCUGCUCCGCAGGCACAGGUAGCGGCAUCGUGGUCGUGACGACAGGUGGAUCUCUUCGUCAGGAACUGAAGGUGGAGGAGAACUCUAAGGACGCGAGCACCUCCUUCCUGGGUUUCCAGCUCCUCCCCGAGCAGGAGCAGCUGUGGGCGGCGUGUGCUGGGC